RNAcentral lists this ribosomal RNA (497 nucleotides) under uncultured bacterium. Its description in RNAcentral is "partial 16S ribosomal RNA". It matches the Rfam family "Bacterial small subunit ribosomal RNA", at positions 28 to 507 of the family's 1533-position model. The record is from RNAcentral.
GAUGAACGCUGGCGGCGUGCCUAAUACAUGCAAGUCGAGCGAACAGACGAGGAGCUUGCUCCUCUGACGUUAGCGGCGGACGGGUGAGUAACACGUGGAUCACCUACCUAUAAGACUGGGAUAACUUCGGGAAACCGGAGCUAAUACCGGAUAAUAUAUUGAACCGCAUGGUUCAAUAGUGAAAGACGGUUUUGCUGUCACUUAUAGAUGGAUCCGCGCCGCAUUAGCUAGUUGGUACGGUAACGGCUUACCAAGGCGACGAUGCGUAGCCGACCUGAGAGGUGGAUCGGCCACACGGGAACGGAGACACGGUCCAGAGUCCUACGGGAGGCAGCAGUAGGGAAUCGUCCGCAAUGGGCGAAAGCUUGACGGAGCAACGCCGCGUGAGUGAUGAAGGUCUUCGGAUCGUAAAACUCGGUUAUGAGGGAAGAACAAAUGUGUAAGUAACUAUGCACGGCUUGACGGUACCUAAUCAGAAAGCCACGGCUAACUACGUG